UCAGGAUGAACGCUGGCGGCGUGCUUAACACAUGCAAGUCGAACGAAGCAACUUAUCACGAACCCUUCGGGGCGACGAUUGUUGACUGAGUGGCGGACGGGUGAGUAACGCGUGGGUAACCUACCUUGUACAGGGGGAUAACAGUUGGAAACGACUGCUAAUACCGCAUAAGCGCACAGCUUCGCAUGAAGCUGUGUGAAAAGUUUUUUCGGUAUAAGAUGGACCCGUGUCUGAUUAGCUAGUUGGUGAGGUAACGGCCCACCAAGGCGACGAUCAGUAGCCGACCUGAGAGGGUGACCGGCCACAUUGGGACUGAGACACGGCCCAAACUCCUACGGGAGGCAGCAGUGGGGAAUAUUGCACAAUGGGCGAAAGCCUGAUGCAAGCGACGCCGCGUGAGCGAAGAAGUAUUUCGGUAUGUAAAGCUCUAUCAGCAGGGAAGAUAAUGACGGUACCUGACUAAGAAGCACCGGCUAAAUACGUGCCAGCCGCGGC
RNAcentral lists this ribosomal RNA (495 nucleotides) under uncultured bacterium. Its description in RNAcentral is "bacterial SSU rRNA". It matches the Rfam family "Bacterial small subunit ribosomal RNA", at positions 24 to 518 of the family's 1533-position model. The record is from RNAcentral.